This 253-nucleotide ribosomal RNA is filed under the name uncultured bacterium. Its description in RNAcentral is "partial 16S ribosomal RNA". It matches the Rfam family "Bacterial small subunit ribosomal RNA", at positions 524 to 776 of the family's 1533-position model. The record is from RNAcentral.
UACGAAGGGGGCUAGCGUUGCUCGGAUUGACUGGGCGUAAAGGGCGCGUAGGCGGUUCGUACAGUCAGACGUGAAAUUCCUGGGCUUAACCUGGGGGCUGCAUUUGAUACGUGUGGGCUUGAGUGCGGAAGAGGGUCGUGGAAUUCCCAGUGUAGAGGUGAAAUUCGUAGAUAUUGGGAAGAACACCGGUGGCGAAGGCGGCGACCUGGUCCGUGACUGACGCUGAGGCGCGAAAGCGUGGGGAGCAAACAGG